GUGCCAGCAGCCGCGGCGGUAAUACGGAGGGGGUUAGCGUUGUUCGGAAUUACUGGGCGUAAAGCGCGCGUAGGCGGAUUGGAAAGUUGGGGGUGAAAUCCCGGGGCUCAACCCCGGAACUGCCUUCAAAACUGACAGUCUAGAGUUCUGGAGAGGUGAGUGGAAUUCCGAGUGUAGAGGUGAAAUUCGUAGGUAUUCGGAGGAACACCAGUGGCGAAGGCGGCUCACUGGCCAGAUACUGACGCUGAGGUGCGAAAGUGUGGGGAGCAAACAGGAUUAGAUACCCUGGUAGUCCACACUG
This 301-nucleotide ribosomal RNA is filed under the name uncultured bacterium. RNAcentral's name for it is "bacterial SSU rRNA". It matches the Rfam family "Bacterial small subunit ribosomal RNA", at positions 505 to 802 of the family's 1533-position model. The record is from RNAcentral.